RNAcentral lists this unclassified non-coding RNA (207 nucleotides) under Hevea brasiliensis (rubber tree). The record is from RNAcentral. Lineage: Eukaryota; Viridiplantae; Streptophyta; Magnoliopsida; Malpighiales; Euphorbiaceae.
GGAAAUACUCAUGACGAACGAAAUACUGAAAAGACGAUAAGGCGAAGUAGGCGAUGAUUGGGAGGAGAUUCGGCGCAUCACUCUUCCUCAGAUUCAGAAUCCGCGCUCUGGAGCCACUCCACGAACGGCUUGGCAUUCUUCACCACCUGGGACUCCUUGCCACCAGCAACAGAUUCAUUAUACCACUGAGUUAUCACUUCUUCAUCC